UACGGAGGGUGCGAGCGUUGUCCGGAAUCAUUGGGCGUAAAGGGCGCGUAGGUGGCCCGGUCAGUUCGUGGUGAAAGCGCGGGGCUCAACCCUGCGUCGGCCAUGAAUACUGCCGCGGCUGGAGCACUGUAGAGGCAGGCGGAAUUCCAGGUGUAGCGGUGAAAUGCGUAGAUAUCUGGAGGAACACCGGUGGCGAAGGCGGCAUCCUGGACCGGUAUUGACGCUGAGGCGCGAAAGCCAGGGGAGCAAACGGG
Molecule: ribosomal RNA, 254 nt
Filed under: uncultured bacterium
Lineage: Bacteria
Description: partial 16S ribosomal RNA
Rfam family: Bacterial small subunit ribosomal RNA
Source: RNAcentral